This 257-nucleotide ribosomal RNA is filed under the name Flavobacterium sp. ISO86_OTU5797. RNAcentral's name for it is "partial 16S ribosomal RNA". It matches the Rfam family "Bacterial small subunit ribosomal RNA", at positions 29 to 289 of the family's 1533-position model. Lineage: Bacteria; Pseudomonadati; Bacteroidota; Flavobacteriia; Flavobacteriales; Flavobacteriaceae. The record is from RNAcentral.
AUGAACGCUAGCGGCAGGCUUAACACAUGCAAGUCGAGGGGUAUAAGUCUUCGGAUUUAGAGACCGGCGCACGGGUGCGUAACGCGUAUGCAAUCUACCUUUUACAGAGGGAUAGCCCAGAGAAAUUUGGAUUAAUACCUCAUAGUAUAGCAGUUUCGCAUGAAACCACUAUUAAAGUCACAACGGUAAAAGAUGAGCAUGCGUCCCAUUAGCUAGUUGGUAAGGUAACGGCUUACCAAGGCUACGAUGGGUAGGGG